AUGUGGCCAGUGUCACCCAAUCCUAGGCCAGUGCCUCCCGAAUAUGUUAGGUUGCCAGGAAGGCCUAAAAACAAUGAUAGGAGAAGAGAGGAAACUGAGCAACCUAAGGGGAAGAAAAUGAGCAAGCAUGGCACAAUUAUCAAAUGCUCCUUGUGUGGUAACCCUGGACACAACAAAUCAGGAUGUAAGCAGAAUCCAGAGAGAGGCAAGAAAAAAAAUGCUCAUCUUGCUAGAACUAGCAAGAAAAAGAACCCAACUGAGGUAUUUGUUGCUGUCAUGUACUUAUCUAUUGCAUAUUUAUCCUGCUUAUUACUCUUGUGUUGGAACUUAUUGCAUAUUUAUCCUUAA
Molecule: ribosomal RNA, 348 nt
Filed under: Triticum aestivum (bread wheat)
Lineage: Eukaryota; Viridiplantae; Streptophyta; Magnoliopsida; Poales; Poaceae
Description: partial small subunit ribosomal RNA
Source: RNAcentral